UUACCGAUUACGUUCCUUACGGUUCGUGAGAGCCUUAUCAUAGAGCUCGUUCUUACUAUUAUAGCAGACGUCUUCGCAGGAAUUAUCUUGUAUUUCGUUUGCAAAUGGCUAGAUGGUAAGAAGCAGACCGAGUGACUAGCCUAUCAACACCCGUUAAAUCGCUAAGAUACGUCAAAAAAGCCCUUAACUACUGGCAUAGUUAGGGGCUUUGGUGUUCUAAU
RNAcentral lists this small RNA (221 nucleotides) under Streptococcus pneumoniae. Its description in RNAcentral is "Streptococcus sRNA SpF66". It matches the Rfam family "Streptococcus sRNA SpF66". Lineage: Bacteria; Bacillati; Bacillota; Bacilli; Lactobacillales; Streptococcaceae. The record is from RNAcentral.